UUUUUGCAACAAUAAGCGGAGGAAAAGAAACCAACCAGGGAUUGCCCUCAGUAACCGGCGAGUGAAGCCGGCAAAAGCUCAAAUUUGAAAUCUGGCUGCUUUUUUAGUAGUCCGAGUUGUAAUUUGAAGAAUAGAUCCUUGGAGAGGCGCCUUGUCUAUGUUCCUUGGAACAGGACGUCGCAGAGGGUGAGAAUCCCGUUUGGCGAGGUGUGCUGAUCCGUGUAAGGGCUGUUCGACGAGUCGAGUUGUUUGGGAAUGCAGCUCUAAGUGGGUGGUAAAUUCCAUCUAAAGCUAAAUAUUGGCGAGAGACCGAUAGCGAACAAGUACAGUGAUGGAAAGAUGAAAAGAACUUUGAAAAGAGAGUGAAAAAGUACGUGAAAUUGUUGAAAGGGAAGGUUAUUAGAUCAGACUUGGAUUUUUUAUUAUAUUUGUCUCCUUGUGGGGCAUUCACUAAUUUUUAAUCCAGGCCAGCAUCGAUUGGGAUGGCGGGAAAAAGAGGGAGGAACGUGGCUGUGCAUUUAUGUGCAGUGUUUAUAGCCUUUCUUAAUACCGCCUGUCUCGAUUCGAGGACUGCGGCAAAUUUAUUUUUGCCUAGGAUGCUGGCGUAAUGAUCUAAUA
RNAcentral lists this ribosomal RNA (618 nucleotides) under Barnettozyma californica. RNAcentral's name for it is "eukaryotic LSU rRNA". It matches the Rfam family "Eukaryotic large subunit ribosomal RNA", at positions 33 to 644 of the family's 3401-position model. Lineage: Eukaryota; Fungi; Ascomycota; Saccharomycetes; Phaffomycetales; Phaffomycetaceae. The record is from RNAcentral.